GAAAGCUAGGGGAGCAAAUGGGAUUAGAGACCCCAGUAGUCCUAGCCGUAAAUGAUGGAUACUAGGUGUUGUGCGAUUCCACCCGUGCAGUAGAAGUGUAAAAGAAAGUGGAUUC
RNAcentral lists this ribosomal RNA (115 nucleotides) under Triticum aestivum (bread wheat). RNAcentral describes it as "rRNA SSU_rRNA_eukarya". It matches the Rfam family "Bacterial small subunit ribosomal RNA", at positions 755 to 869 of the family's 1533-position model. The record is from RNAcentral. RNAcentral also lists the same sequence under 1 other name. Lineage: Eukaryota; Viridiplantae; Streptophyta; Magnoliopsida; Poales; Poaceae.